GAGAUCGGACGGGAUUCGAACCCGGGUUUGCACAGUGUGAGCGUCCACUGACACCACUACACCACGAAUGC
Teladorsagia circumcincta is the source of this 71-nucleotide non-coding RNA. Lineage: Eukaryota; Metazoa; Nematoda; Chromadorea; Rhabditida; Trichostrongylidae. The record is from the annotation of a GenBank genome assembly.